Molecule: long non-coding RNA, 496 nt
Filed under: Nicotiana benthamiana
Lineage: Eukaryota; Viridiplantae; Streptophyta; Magnoliopsida; Solanales; Solanaceae
Description: long non-coding RNA (NBEN_LNC010503)
Source: RNAcentral
AUCAAUAAAUCGUUGGAUUUGAAAUCGAACUCUCUACCUUGGGCGGAUAGGAAUUGAGACUUUCAAUGGUCCGCUCUUCUCUCCUCGUGAUCGAAGCUGACCCCAGAAGUUGGGUAUUCCUUCUUAAGAGGACACUAACCCUCCCGAUCUUGCUAGCCGGGGGCUCAGUCUUUCAAGAUUCAAUCUUUCCCCUUCCGGUCCCAGGGAAUCGCUCUUAUAGUAGGAGGUUUACUAUUCCGCUCUUCUCUUCUCGUGAUCGAAGUUGACCCCAUAAGUUGGGUAUUCCUUCUUAAUAGGACACUAACCCUCCUGAUCUUGCUAGCCGGGGGCUCAGUCUUUCAAGAUUCAAUCUUUCCCUUCCGGUCCCAGGGAAUCGCUCUUAUAUUAGGAGGUUUACUAUGUCCCCAACUUCUCUUUAUUAAGAAAGUCGGUUGUCUACUAUAAUUAGAUUAAGAUCGUAAAAACAUAAGCUUGUAAUAUAGCUAGACCAAAUUCA